AGCAGUUGAAGAAAAACCUAAAGAACCAAAAGUUGAGGAGAAACCUAAAGAACCAGCGGCUGAGGAGAAACCCGAAGAACCAGCAGUGAAAGAAACACCUGAAGAACCAGCGGUUAAAGAGACACCUGAGGAACUAGCAGUUGAAGAGAAACCUGAAGAACCAGCAAUUGAAGAGAAACCUGAAGAACCAGUAGCUGACAAAAAACUUGAGCAACCAACAAUUGAGGAGAAACCUGAAGAAUCAAUAGUUGAAAAGACUGAAGAACCAGCAGUUGAUGAAAAAGGUGAAGAACCGUCAGUUGAAGAAAUACCUGAGGAGUCGGCAGUUGAAAAUUUUGAAGAAGCAGCAGUAGAAGAGAAACCUGAAGAACCAGCAGUUAAGGAAAAAACUGAAGAACCACCCAUUGAAG
This 410-nucleotide long non-coding RNA is filed under the name Nicotiana tabacum (common tobacco). RNAcentral's name for it is "long non-coding RNA (NTAB_LNC000540)". Lineage: Eukaryota; Viridiplantae; Streptophyta; Magnoliopsida; Solanales; Solanaceae. The record is from RNAcentral.